This 478-nucleotide long non-coding RNA is filed under the name Pan troglodytes (chimpanzee). RNAcentral describes it as "long non-coding RNA NONPTRT010110". Lineage: Eukaryota; Metazoa; Chordata; Mammalia; Primates; Hominidae. The record is from RNAcentral.
CUGUUCUUGGGUUUGUCAGGGGCUCUAUUGUUUUCCUCUGCUUUCUCCCACACAAAUGGCAGAUCUUGCAGAUAUUAAUGAUUUGUUCUAAUCUGCUUGUAUAGUAGUCCCUUUUUAUCCACGGAGGAUAUGUUCCAAAACCCGCAGUGGGUGGCUGAAGCUGCAAAUAGUUCCAAACCUUAUAUGUACUAUGUUUUUUGUCAGGUAGGGAAAUCUGUCUUAUGGUUGCUGAGAGAAUUAAAUGAGAUAACAUAGGUUAACUGUGUUUAUCAUAGUGUCUUGCAUAUAGUAGAUGCUUGAUAAUGAUUCACGUCAUUCAUUUCAUUUUCCUCCCUCCCUCUGAAUUAUCAACAGGUAUUUCUUCUUGAAUAGAGAUGGAAUAGGAAUCUAUGCUUAUACUGGCACACAUAUAGAAACCAAUGGUGUCAUUACACCAGAGAUAUCUGCCUCUCUGUGAAUGUGUUUUUUAUCACGGCUU